UACACACCGCCCGUCACACCAUGGGAGUCAGUUGCUCCAGAAACGGCUGCGCUAACCCGCGAAGGGGGCAGGUCUUUAAGGAGUGACUGGUAACUGGGGUG
RNAcentral lists this ribosomal RNA (101 nucleotides) under uncultured bacterium. RNAcentral's name for it is "partial 16S ribosomal RNA". It matches the Rfam family "Bacterial small subunit ribosomal RNA", at positions 1384 to 1482 of the family's 1533-position model. The record is from RNAcentral.